GACGAACGCUGGCUGCGUGCUUAACACAUGCAAGUCGAACGGAAAGGCCCUGCUUUUGUGGGGUGCUCGAGUGGCGAACGGGUGAGUAACACGUGAGUAACCUGCCCUUGACUUUGGGAUAACUUCAGGAAACUGGGGCUAAUACCGGAUAGGAGCUCCUGCUGCAUGGUGGGGGUUGGAAAGUUUCGGCGGUUGGGGAUGGACUCGCGGCUUAUCAGCUUGUUGGUGGGGUAGUGGCUUACCAAGGCUUUGACGGGUAGCCGGCCUGAGAGGGUGACCGGCCACAUUGGGACUGAGAUACGGCCCAGACUCCUACGGGAGGCAACAGUGGGGAAUAUUGCACAAUGGGCGGAAGCCUGAUGCAGCAACGCCGCGUGCGGGAUGACGGCCUUCGGGUUGUAAACCGCUUUCGCCUGUGACGAAGCGUGAGUGACGGUAAUGAGUAAAGAAGCACCGGCUAACUACGU
Molecule: ribosomal RNA, 467 nt
Filed under: uncultured bacterium
Lineage: Bacteria
Description: partial 16S ribosomal RNA
Rfam family: Bacterial small subunit ribosomal RNA
Source: RNAcentral